GCUAUACAAAUAAAAUUUGAUUUGAUUUGAUACAGUUUUGUGCACCAGAGAAAUUCGCUGCUUCCUGAUUGUGAAAACCAACUUGCUAUCCAGUGUGUGCAUGGCAGAUAUUUAGACACUGGAAACGAGCCUGAGAAGGAGGAGGAGUUCCUCGCCCCACCCCCUGUUGUCAUCGUCAUCAUGGCCUCCAUUCCUCUCAGGGAUGCAGAGAAAGAGCAGAGUUUCAGAAAUCAGGUCAACACAGUGGGGCACCUGACAGAUGAGGAGAGGACACAUACGUGGCCCAGAGUGAGCACCCUGCAGGAGGGUCCGGCCAGGUGGGGACUUAAUCCUGUAACUUACUGUUUUACCAUGGAGCCAUCUGAAGUCUUCUGGUCUCAGAGACCUGACUAAUGUUGGAGGCGAUUCAGAGUAUUUGCAGGUUUCACAGGACAAGCUACAGACUGAUGGCUUUUGAGGGUUUGGUUCGUUCCUGUUUUUCUGUGAACAUCUUGGAUGUUUUGUUCUAAUGUUGAAGACAAAAGAAAGUGCUGCUGCCUUCAGGUUUCUCCUGAUGAAAAGGUUUGUCUAAAGAAAUUGAAAAAGACAAAAGCUGAAACUCAUCUGCAGUGUGCUAUUUGUGCUGCAUGCACGGCUGCUUCCAGUGUUACUGGGUCUAAUUAAAUCCUGCACAUAGCUCUGCUCCUCUAAUGACUUCUCCACAGGCUGCACGGCUCAUACGCUGCACAUUAACACAACACACAUGCUGUAGUAUAACAUGAGAAAAAAGAAAAUGAAUAAAUCUAAUGAUUACUGGAUGAGCUGAUUAACUGCCAUUCAACUCAUCUAAGAAAUCUGAUGUUAGGACUGAAUUUGACUUCCAGCUAUAACUCAGGAUGCUCCGACCCACACACUCGAUUCCCUAGAUUUGGUCUCAGCAUGUCUGAGUUGGCUGAACGGCUGACAGGCUUCAGCAGCCUGUGCAGGGUUCAUUCCUACAACACCGCGGGGGCAGAAGAGCCACCGACGGGGUUCCUCUCAUGAUAGCUCGCCGAGGAGGAUGGAGGGGUUGUGAUUGAAACCAUGCAUGAGUGUGUGACAGCAAUUUUUAGACAUUGCACCUUUAAUCGGCUAAAACAGAUUAAAAGUGUUUGAUGCGCCUUCAAUGCCCGACCUCCACCCGCGCUGUUGGAAAUGCAUCCUGAAUAAAUCAAGGUUGAAUUUAUUGUCAAGCACGAAAACAUGAAUGAGCCAGUCCUGCCCUUAAUUCUAUACAGGAUUAUCAAUCUAAAUAUCAGUUUAAUUAUGGACCCAAUUAAGGUUUGUUUGUAAAAUUGAGCACAAGUCAGCAAAGCGUGACAUUCACGGGACAUGGCUCUAGAAAAAAAAGAAGGCAUUAAAAAUAGGCCACAAUGCAAAAUCAACCCCAUCAUCACA
This is a long non-coding RNA of Monopterus albus (swamp eel), 1416 nucleotides long. RefSeq lists it as uncharacterized. The transcript is spliced from 4 exons. NCBI's taxonomy places the organism in Eukaryota, Metazoa, Chordata, Actinopteri, Synbranchiformes, Synbranchidae. The record is from RefSeq and is a predicted model, not a curated record.